Molecule: ribosomal RNA, 440 nt
Filed under: uncultured bacterium
Lineage: Bacteria
Description: bacterial SSU rRNA
Rfam family: Bacterial small subunit ribosomal RNA
Source: RNAcentral
CCUACGGGAGGCAGCAGUGGGGAAUAUUGCGCAAUGGGCGAAAGCCUGACGCAGCGACGCCGCGUGCGGGAUGAAGGCCUUCGGGUCGUAAACCGCUGUCGGGAGGGACGAAUUCAUGACGGUACCUCCAAAGGAAGCACCGGCUAACUCUGUGCCAGCAGCCGCGGUAAUACAGAGGGUGCGAGCGUUGUCCGGAAUCACUGGGCGUAAAGGGCGCGUAGGCGGCCUGGUAAGUAGGGGGUGAAAUCUUGCGGCUCAACCGCAAGACUGCCUUCUAGACUGCCGGGCUGGAGCACGGUAGAGGCUGGUGGAAUUCCCGGUGUAGCGGUGGAAUGCGUAGAGAUCGGGAAGAACAUCGGUGGCGAAGGCGGCCAGCUGGGCCGUUGCUGACGCUGAGGCGCGACAGCGUGGGGAGCAAACAGGAUUAGAUACCCGUGUAG